Molecule: ribosomal RNA, 254 nt
Filed under: uncultured bacterium
Lineage: Bacteria
Description: partial 16S ribosomal RNA
Rfam family: Bacterial small subunit ribosomal RNA
Source: RNAcentral
CAAACCAAAGCUGGCGACCGGCGCACGGGUGAGUAACACGUAUCCAACCUGCCUCAUACUCGGGGAUGGCCUUUCGAAAGAAAGAUUAAUAUCCGAUAGCAUAUAUUUCCCGCAUGGGUUUUAUAUUAAAGAAAUUCGGUAUGAGAUGGGGAUGCGUUCCAUUAGUUUGUUGGGGGGUAACGGCCCACCAAGACUACGAUGGAUAGGGGUUCUGAGAGGAAGGUCCCCCACAUUGGAACUGAGACACGGUCCAA